ACAGAAUACCUAACUGCAAGAACUGCCGCAUCCCUGGUGGUCUGACCUUGUCUCUGAGCUAAGCAGCAGAUUUCAGCCACAGCGUCUGACUCUCAGGCAGACACAUCCUGUCCAAGGACUGGAGACAGAGCAUCCGUUCUCCCACCCAGAGCGGUCAGCUGCAUGUGGCUGGUUGGGGGGCGGUUCAGGUUAGUUAGUUAUUGAUAUCCUGUGUUAAGAUUCCUGCCUUGGCGGCACUGAAGGGAUCCGGGAGGCAGUGACUUCACUCACUCGACUCAAAUUGCAAUCAGCCAGCCUCUUGGCUCAGGCAUUCAUCUACCCAGAACUAUUUUUGGUGUGUGUUCAUAGACAGCACACACCAAAGUAUUUGGUAUUUGAGAUGCAAGCACUAAGGAUGAUUAAAGUUAGUUGCUAAUGAGCAUGCCUAGAAUAGAUAUACUCUGUGUGUAUGCGUGUGUGUGUGCGCGCGCUCCAUGUGUGUGCUCUGUUGCGUGUCUACAAAGCAGAUGUCUACACACCUGCCCUUAGGUGACCUCACCAAUGUCCAUGAACUGGUGCUGCUAGAUCAGCUAAGAGGUCCCUGGACGGAAGACGGAAAUGGAUAACAAUUGACCUGUCUCAAAAUACUGCCUUACUGGGUACCCAUGCUCCCCCAUCAGAAUCCAAUCUACCUUUCAAC
This 679-nucleotide long non-coding RNA is filed under the name Homo sapiens (human). RNAcentral describes it as "non-protein coding lnc-MAP1LC3B2-28:22". The record is from RNAcentral. Lineage: Eukaryota; Metazoa; Chordata; Mammalia; Primates; Hominidae.